CGCAACAAGUUUAAAAGUCUUAAAUCGGACUUUUUUAAAGCAAAACGAAACAAUAAUAAAAGCGGAGCUAAGCGGCAGACAUCAGAGCACUUUGAGUUGCUGGACCAGAUCUUGGGACAUCGUCCAGUGUUGGAGGCAGAAGGAGUAGACGUUGCUGAAAUGGAUAUUGAAAAUAUGGACUUCUCACUGAAUUUGGUGAAGCCACUGAACAUACUGAAAAAGAAAAAUCAAGUAAUGGGUCUCAGGACGAAUUGACUGAAGUGAAAGUUUCUGCCAGCAAUAAUAACUUGCGUAGUUUCAAACGAGCUAGUAGAGAAGCAGACUUACCAAAAAGUGGUUGAAUCUUUUACAAAAGACUGGAAAGAAUCACAGAAGGAAUUACUUGGGACCAGGAUGAAAAAUUGAUAGAUAUGCAGAGCAAAAAGCAAGAGGAAAUUUUGGAAAAAAA
Long non-coding RNA from Rhagoletis pomonella (apple maggot), 448 nucleotides. RefSeq lists it as uncharacterized. The transcript has 2 exons. The record is from RefSeq and is a predicted model, not a curated record. Lineage: Eukaryota; Metazoa; Arthropoda; Insecta; Diptera; Tephritidae.